Long non-coding RNA from Salvia splendens (bonfire salvia), 240 nucleotides. RefSeq lists it as uncharacterized. The transcript has 3 exons. NCBI's taxonomy places the organism in Eukaryota, Viridiplantae, Streptophyta, Magnoliopsida, Lamiales, Lamiaceae. The record is from RefSeq and is a predicted model, not a curated record.
GUUCUGUCCUAUUUAUAAUUCUGAUAACCUGAAGUGUAUUCGAGACUGAUUGAAAAAUAAGGUAUUGAUGCAUAAAUAUUCAUGAGGGAUUGAUAAAAAAAGUAUCGAUGCCAGCUAUGGAAAGCAGAUUAUAUUUAAAUAUUAAUGAGGUAAUGCCUAAUCUUCAUAAACUAAAUGCAAUACUGGGAAUAAACAAAUAUGGUAGAAACAGAAGCAGAUUCUAAUGUUAAUAAAGAUCAC